GGCUGAACUACCCGACGCCGUGAAGGGGACAAAGAGGGUUCAACUUACUAGCUAUGUGUGUAGUGCUCCUUGAUGGGUGGUAAACAGGUUCAUCACACAAUUACGGAUAAACAAGGUUUACUGGGAGAGCAUAACUUGUGUUACAGCUGUAAUGAGAUAUACUCUCCAAGAUGGUUUUACAAGGAACAUGUGAAUGUAGACUUA
This is a long non-coding RNA of Vidua macroura (Pin-tailed whydah), 204 nucleotides long. RefSeq lists it as uncharacterized. Lineage: Eukaryota; Metazoa; Chordata; Aves; Passeriformes; Viduidae. The record is from RefSeq and is a predicted model, not a curated record. The transcript is spliced from 3 exons.